Non-coding RNA from Caenorhabditis elegans, 139 nucleotides. The record is from Ensembl. Lineage: Eukaryota; Metazoa; Nematoda; Chromadorea; Rhabditida; Rhabditidae.
AAAUGAAGUUGAUGGAGGAAAAUCGAGAUGUUUUGAUGAGGAUGAGGAAGGAGCAACAGAUGUAGAGGACAGAGGAUCAUUUCUGGAAAUAAAUACAUGAAAAAUAUACCAAAAUAUUCAAAAACCGUACCUUUGGUUC